CAAACUGAAGAUGGCGACCGGCGCACGGGUGAGUAACACGUAUCCAACCUGCCGAUAACUCCGGAAUAGCCUUUCGAAAGAAAGAUUAAUACCGGAUAGUAUACGAAUAUCGCAUGAUAUUUUUAUUAAAGAAUUUCGGUUAUCGAUGGGGAUGCGUUCCAUUAGUUUGUUGGCGGGGUAACGGCCCACCAAGACUACGAUGGAUAGGGGUCCUGAGAGGAAGGUCCCCCACAUUGGAACUGAGACACGGUCCAA
RNAcentral lists this ribosomal RNA (255 nucleotides) under uncultured bacterium. RNAcentral's name for it is "partial 16S ribosomal RNA". It matches the Rfam family "Bacterial small subunit ribosomal RNA", at positions 77 to 334 of the family's 1533-position model. The record is from RNAcentral.